RNAcentral lists this ribosomal RNA (160 nucleotides) under Blastocystis sp. RNAcentral describes it as "partial small subunit ribosomal RNA". It matches the Rfam family "Eukaryotic small subunit ribosomal RNA", at positions 18 to 180 of the family's 1831-position model. The record is from RNAcentral. Lineage: Eukaryota; Bigyra; Opalinata; Blastocystidae.
UAGUAGUCAUACGCUCGUCUCAAAGAUUAAGCCAUGCAUGUGUAAGUAUAAAUAGUUAACUUUGAAACUGCGAAUGGCUCAUUAUAUCAGUUAUAGUUUAUUUGAUGAAGAAUACUAAUUGGAUAACCGUAGUAAUUCUAGAGCUAAUACAUGUAUAAAG